This 180-nucleotide ribosomal RNA is filed under the name uncultured Glomeromycotina. RNAcentral's name for it is "partial small subunit ribosomal RNA". Lineage: Eukaryota; Fungi; Glomeromycota. The record is from RNAcentral.
GGCCCGACUGAGUGGUCUUGCCUCGUUGUAAGCACUGCUCCGGUUGGGUCUUUCCUUCUGGCUAACCAGCUGCCUUUCACUGGGUUGGCUGGGGCUCCAGGACUUUUACUUUGAAAAAAUUAGAGUGUUUAAAGCAGGCAAGCGCUUGAAUACAUUAGCAUGGAAUAAUGAAAUAGGACG